Non-coding RNA from Scatophagus argus, 883 nucleotides. The record is from the annotation of a RefSeq genome assembly. NCBI's taxonomy places the organism in Eukaryota, Metazoa, Chordata, Actinopteri, Scatophagidae.
AUCAAUCCCAUGUCAAUAUGAAGUUGUUGCGAACCCGGAGUGCCAGCAGAGGGCAGCCUGCAUCCCUUGAUGAGCAUUAAGGCCUUUGGGAAACUCAGCAAAGACAGAAGCAGCAGAGAGAUGAGGACCAGGAAGUCUGGAGUUUCUACAUGUGAUGAAUCAGUCCACAGGGAGAUGUAGCCUGUACUCCACCUCAUCUCUGCCUAACAGUUUCACAAAGACAGCUGUGCCCAAAUGUGUUUUGCAUGACUUUGAUGCUUGGCUGCUCCUCAGAGUUUAAGUUCUUAUGUCGCAGAGAGUCUGAACUGUUUUCAUGCACUCACACUGAAAACUGCAUCAGGAUGAAGUUUCCAAUAACUCUGAUAGUCACUUUGGGCUUCCUGAGUCAGGAGUCUUCUGCCAACAACUUUCUGACUCAGGCUGACAAAUCCAAGUCUGUUAGUCUUGGAGGGACUGUGACAAUCAGUGCCACAGGGAGUUCAAACAUUGGUUACGCUCUAAGUUGGUACCUCCAGAAACCUGGACAGGCUCCCAAACUCCUGAUAUAUAGUGCAACAAGUCGAUUCUCAGGAACUCCAUCUCGAUUCAGUGGCAGUAAAUCUGGUUCAAGCUACACUCUGACCAUCAGUGGUGUUCAGGCUGAAGAUAUUGGAGAUUACUACUGUCUGGGCUACCAUUACGAUGGCACGUUCACACAGUGAUUUCGAGCCGUACAAAAACCUCCUUCAGUUUGACUGAAGUGAAAACGGCCUGCUGCAGGUGCACAGAGUUGGUGAAGAGACUGAGUCAUCAAGCAGAACCACAAUGAAUCUAAAUCAACCAGAAACAAACUCACAGAAUGUUUUUAAAAUGCAGCCUCAAGUUAAUUCUAAUUCAUUAAAUC